GCUUGUCUCAAAGAUUAAGCCAUGCAUGUCUAAGUAUAAACAAAUUUAUACCGUGAAACUGCGAAUGGCUCAUUAUAUCAGUUAUAGUUUAUUUGAUGGUCCUUGCUACUUGGAUAACCGUAGUAAUUCUAGAGCUAAUACAUGCAUCAAACCCCAACUUCUGGAAGGGGUGUAUUUAUUAGAUGGAAACCAAUGCGGGGCAACCCGGAACAUGGUGAUUCAUAAUAACUUUCGGAUCGAUUUAUCGAUGCAUCAUUCAAGUUUCUGCCCUAUCAGCUUUGGAUGGUAGGGUAUUGGCCUACCAUGGCUUUCACGGGUAACGAAGAAUAAGGGUUCGAUUUCGGAGAGGGAGCCUGAGAAACGGCUACCACAUCCAAGGAAGGCAGCAG
This 389-nucleotide ribosomal RNA is filed under the name uncultured Chrysophyceae. RNAcentral's name for it is "partial small subunit ribosomal RNA". It matches the Rfam family "Eukaryotic small subunit ribosomal RNA", at positions 30 to 431 of the family's 1831-position model. Lineage: Eukaryota; Chrysophyceae. The record is from RNAcentral.